Molecule: ribosomal RNA, 292 nt
Filed under: uncultured Acidobacteriota bacterium
Lineage: Bacteria; Pseudomonadati; Acidobacteriota
Description: uncultured Acidobacteria bacterium partial 16S ribosomal RNA
Source: RNAcentral
GGACUACAGGGGUAUCUAAUCCUGUUUGCUACCCACGCUUUCGUGCCUCAGCGUCAGUUAUGGUCCAGUAAGCUGUCUACACCACAGGUGUUCCUCCUGAUAUCUACGCAUUUCACCGCUACACCAGGAAUUCCGCUUACCUCUCCCACACUCAAGCCCUACAGUCUUCCGCGCACCCUCCCAGUUGAGCCGGGAGAUUUCACACGGAACUUAUAGGACCGCCUACGCACUCUUUACGCCCAGUAACUCCGAACAACGCUUGCUGCCUACGUAUUACCGCGGCGGCUGGCAC